GCCUUCGUGGUGUAGUGGUCAGUACGCUGGGCAUAUAUUCCAGAGGUUAAUGGUUCGAGUCCCGGCGAAGGCG
RNAcentral lists this transfer RNA (73 nucleotides) under Stegodyphus mimosarum. It matches the Rfam family "tRNA". Rfam says of the family: Transfer RNA (tRNA) molecules are approximately 80 nucleotides in length. Their secondary structure includes four short double-helical elements and three loops (D, anti-codon, and T loops). The record is from Rfam by way of RNAcentral. Lineage: Eukaryota; Metazoa; Arthropoda; Arachnida; Araneae; Eresidae.